ACGAACGCUGGCGGCGCGCCUAACACAUGCAAGUCGAACGAGUGAGAGGGAGCUUGCUCCCUCAAGCGAGUGGCGAACGGGUGAGUAACGCGUGAGGAACCUGCCUCAAAGAGGGGGACAACAGUUGGAAACGACUGCUAAUACCGCAUAAGCCCACGACCCGGCAUCGGGUUGAGGGAAAAGGAGCAAUCCGCUUUGAGAUGGCCUCGCGUCCGGUUAGCUAGUUGGUGAGGUAACGGCCCACCAAGGCGACGAUCGGUAGCCGGACUGAGAGGUUGAACGGCCACAUUGGGACUGAGACACGGCCCAGACUCCUACGGGAGGCAGCAGUGGGGAAUAUUGCACAAUGGGGGAAACCCUGAUGCAGCGACGCCGCGUGGAGGAAGAAGGUCUUCGGAUUGUAAACUCCUGUUGUUGAGGAAGAUAAUGACGGUACUCAACAAGGAAGUGACGGCUAACUACGUGCCAGCAGCCGCAGUAA
Molecule: ribosomal RNA, 481 nt
Filed under: uncultured bacterium
Lineage: Bacteria
Description: partial 16S ribosomal RNA
Rfam family: Bacterial small subunit ribosomal RNA
Source: RNAcentral